AGUAUGUCCAUUCCCUUCCUACCCAUCAAGCUCCUCCACAGCCUAAAAUGUCUCCUACAAAGUCCCUCAGCACCUUAAGCCUCUUGAAAUAGACAUGCAUGAAAUAGAAAAUAGAGAGAGAGAAAUUAAGGAGUGGGAUAAGAUGAUGCAUAGAUAUGAUCUUCAUGACCCUUAUGAUAUAUAAAUCAAAUUAAGCUACUAUGCCAUGUUCCCUUUUUUCGAUGUUUGAUGAUCAAAAAG
Molecule: unclassified non-coding RNA, 240 nt
Filed under: Hevea brasiliensis (rubber tree)
Lineage: Eukaryota; Viridiplantae; Streptophyta; Magnoliopsida; Malpighiales; Euphorbiaceae
Source: RNAcentral